Non-coding RNA from Punica granatum (pomegranate), 1242 nucleotides. Lineage: Eukaryota; Viridiplantae; Streptophyta; Magnoliopsida; Myrtales; Lythraceae. The record is from RefSeq and is a predicted model, not a curated record.
UUCGGCACGGGAUGACAAUGAAUGCGUACCCAGAAAAGUGUGUGGUAACUCAUAUAAGAUACCAAAAGAUGGAAGGGGAGAGGGAAAUUUCUUGGGAAAAUGUCGUUUUACAGAAGCCCUAGCUAUAUAUAUAUUUCACCUUGCCAAGUUACCAAAUAUGUUGGAGGCAAGAGUUUCAUCAGCAAAAUCAAUUUCUUCUGGUUAUCUUAUAUUUUCUUUUUCUUGGGCAAAUUCAUGUUCGCUUCUUAUAUAUAUGUGAAUAUAUAUUGUAUACAUAUAGAGAUGAACAAGCAGUAUUCGAUUUCGUGUUGAUUCACAUCUGCAUCGACUGGGCAUAUACUUGGAUGAACUCCAAUAGUAAGUAUCAAAAUUUCAUCCUAAAGUCCUUUCUCAUCAUAGCAGUGACCUAUUAUUUACCAUAUCAUGGGAAGACUUUCCCAGAAGCGGCAGAUAUCCCCAUACCCGUGUCGAAUUUAUAUUCUUCCAUUCCUCGCUUGUAACUGGCCCUACAUACUCCAUGGUCCAUUUUUAUCAAUCACAGUAUUCGUUUUCUGAAGUGAGUUAUUUAUUUUGCAGAAACAUGUACUUCAUCAAAGAUUAUUUGUUUCGUUGAUGGGGAAUGUACUCGAUGUAAUUUCUUUAAACUGACCCCUUUCCGGCUAUCUUAGUGCUAAAUCUACCUCCUCUUGGAUGGGUGAAGACGACUGUUGCCCCAGUUGGACAGUUGCUGUCACUCACACGUUGCCAGAGGCCGCCCCUUCUUGACAUCUAUGGGGCACAAGCAGAUGGCCUGUGGCUUAAGCUCGUACCACAGCAAGGGGAGACUCGCAAUUGUCACCAACAACGUCAAGGGGGUGGCGACAACGUGACAGCAGACUUGUCACUUUUUCUUUGUUUUAUCAGAACAUCCAAAGAUACUUCCAUGCAGUAAAGUUGCAAAGGUCAUAUGUAAAUGUUCUACUCCCAACGUGAAAUCUUGCAGUCAACAUUCUCAGACACCAGACCCGAAAGACAUAUGGAGAUUGCAAGUGUGAAUACGUAUUUGCCUCCAGUAAACUGCGGCACUCCAAAGGGAAGAAAAGAGCCUGAGGCCAUUGCAUUAUAAGUAAUGUCGUGGUAACAUCAAGUCAACAAGAAAGUAUUCCCGAUCUCAUAUAUCUCUAUCCAAAGAGAUAUCGAGAAAUACACAUCAAAUACUCCGGACAAAUCAUAUGAUCGUAAAUCCAAACAUCUUUCCAAUAA